RNAcentral lists this ribosomal RNA (492 nucleotides) under uncultured bacterium. RNAcentral describes it as "partial 16S ribosomal RNA". It matches the Rfam family "Bacterial small subunit ribosomal RNA", at positions 29 to 507 of the family's 1533-position model. The record is from RNAcentral.
AGUGAACGCUGGCGGUAGGCCUAACACAUGCAAGUCGAACGGCAGCACAGUAAGAGCUUGCUCUUACGGGUGGCGAGUGGCGGACGGGUGAGGAAUACAUCGGAAUCUACUUUUUCGUGGGGGAUAACGUAGGGAAACUUACGCUAAUACCGCAUACGACCUACGGGUGAAAGCAGGGGAUCUUCGGACCUUGCGCGAUUGAAUGAGCCGAUGUCGGAUUAGCUAGUUGGCGGGGUAAAGGCCCACCAAGGCGACGAUCCGUAGCUGGUCUGAGAGGAUGAGCGGCCACAGGGGAACUGAGACACGGCCCAAACUCCUAGGGGAGGCAGCAGUGGGGAAUCUUGCACAAAGGGCGCAAGGCUGACCGAGCAACGCCGCGUGGGUGAAGAAGGUGUUCGGGUUGUAAAACUCUUUUGUUGGAAAAGAAAAAGGGCGAGAGUAACCGCUGGUGCCUUGACGGUACCAAAACAGAAAGCCACGGCUAACUACGUG